This 107-nucleotide small nuclear RNA is filed under the name Dasypus novemcinctus (nine-banded armadillo). The record is from RNAcentral. Lineage: Eukaryota; Metazoa; Chordata; Mammalia; Cingulata; Dasypodidae.
GUGCUUGCUUUGGCAGCAUAUAUACUAAAAUUGGAAUGACACAGAGAAGAUUAGCAUGGCCCCUGUGCAAGGAUGACAGGCAAAUUUGUGAAGCAUUCCAUAUUUAA